RNAcentral lists this ribosomal RNA (465 nucleotides) under Vreelandella stevensii. RNAcentral's name for it is "partial 16S ribosomal RNA". It matches the Rfam family "Bacterial small subunit ribosomal RNA", at positions 338 to 795 of the family's 1533-position model. The record is from RNAcentral. Lineage: Bacteria; Pseudomonadati; Pseudomonadota; Gammaproteobacteria; Oceanospirillales; Halomonadaceae.
CCUACGGGCGGCAGCAGUGGGGAAUAUUGGACAAUGGGGGCAACCCUGAUCCAGCCAUGCCGCGUGUGUGAAGAAGGCCCUUGGGUUGUAAAGCACUUUCAGUGAGGAAGAACGCCUGGUGGUGAAUACCCAUCAGGAAAGACAUCACUCACAGAAGAAGCACCGGCUAACUCCGUGCCAGCAGCCGCGGUAAUACGGAGGGUGCGAGCGUUAAUCGGAAUUACUGGGCGUAAAGCGCGCGUAGGUGGCUUGAUAAGCCUGUUGUGAAAGCCCCGGGCUCAACCUGGGAACGGCAUCCGGAACUGUCAAGCUAGAGUGCAGGAGAGGAAGGUAGAAUUCCAGGUGUAGCGGUGAAAUGCGUAGAGAUCGGGAGGAAUACCAGUGGCGAAGGCGGCCUUCUGGACUGAAACUGACACUGAGGUGCGAAAGCGUGGGUAGCAAACAGGAUUAGAUACCCCGGUAGUC